AUGGCCCCCACCACCCCACCCAUUGGAUUCGCCAUUGUGCACAUGGGCAAGCACAAGCUGCUCCUGGGCGCGCACCUCCUCGUGAGGCGCCGCAAUAAGUCCCUCUCGCGCUCCGUUUCCAAAUUCCUCUCCCACCACCACGAGCACCACAGAGGCCGCCGCGAGUACGAGUUCUCUUGCAGUGGCAGCCUUGACCUGGGCUCCUUCUCCAUGCACUGCCGCGUCCCCGCGUCGUCGUUGCCCGGGGCGCUGAUGAUGCGUGAGGAGCUCACGAUUGGGAAGGAAUGCAAGUCUGGGGGGAUGCCGCCGUUGGUGCCCGGCGCGGUCGACGGUGGGUUCUCGGUGCGGGUGUCCAACUUCCCGCCGGACAAGGUCGACGGGGACCAACUGGGUCUGGGCGAGGCCGUGGACGACGAGGCAGAGGAGUUCAUCGCCCGCUUCUACGCCCAGCUGCGUCGGUAG
This 462-nucleotide ribosomal RNA is filed under the name Triticum aestivum (bread wheat). RNAcentral's name for it is "partial small subunit ribosomal RNA". Lineage: Eukaryota; Viridiplantae; Streptophyta; Magnoliopsida; Poales; Poaceae. The record is from RNAcentral.